RNAcentral lists this long non-coding RNA (1130 nucleotides) under Musa acuminata (dwarf banana). Its description in RNAcentral is "long non-coding RNA (MACU_LNC004789)". Lineage: Eukaryota; Viridiplantae; Streptophyta; Magnoliopsida; Zingiberales; Musaceae. The record is from RNAcentral.
GGGUGGUAAUGUCGCGAUCGGCAGGCUUCUUGUUGUUGCUUGUGACGGUAGCGGUGACGUUACGAUCAGAUGCGUCGAAGGGGACGUUGUUGUCGUGGCACCACCGGGCUAUAAGGUUCUUCAGGGCGCGGUUGGGGACGAGCUCGAGGUGGGCGAGCGACUGGCCGGACUUGGGGCAGGUGGCGUGUCCGGAGCCGAUCCACCGGACAAUGGGCUCUCGGUCGUACGUCUGCCCGGUGGCCACCACCACCGGGUCCCGCAUCAGGUCCAGCGAGAUUGGGCACCGGAAGUCCGCCGGCACCGUGAUGUUCUCCAACGCGGAGGACGAUUGUUUACCGCCUGCGGCGGCAGAAGAGUCAGACCUCGGAAUCGAGGCGCCGAAGAGGACGCACUUGGCGUAGCGGAGGAUCCCAGCGAGCGCCACCAUGACGGGCGCCCACCUAUGGUCGGCGGCGCAAUCACCGAUAUCGCGCUCGAGGCGGUCGAUCUCACGGCCGCAGCUCCUGGAGUCAUCGAGGCCGAGCCGCAGGAAGAUCCCCUGCAGCGCGUCCCGAUCGGGUACCGCCCCUCUCUCGAUUUCAGCGAUGAGCUCGAGGACGUCCCGGCGGAGGGAGAGAGCGGCGGGUUCGACGGCGGUGGAGGAGCGGCGGAACUGGCGGAGGAGGAGGCGGACGAGGUCCCUCACGUCCUCAGAGACCGGAAGCUCCGCCAACGGGAGGAUGUCAAGCAGGGUGGCGAGGUCGACGACUUGCUCGUGGAGCUCGGCGGCGAGGCGCUCGGCCCGGAAGAGGUGGAAGGCGCGGCUGCGGCCGGAGCUGUCGUGAAAGAGUGCCUUGACACGGUGGAAGACAAGAAACAUCUCGCGAAAGCAGAGCGAAGCCGAGCGCGGCAUCGCAAAGUCGCAGCCUCGCGUGUGCUGAAGGAGCUCCUCGAAGAGAAGAGAAAGCUGUUUGAAGUUGCGGGGGACGGAGGAGAAGUUGUGACCGACGCGGAGCGAGGCGUGCCACGAUGGGGGCGGUGACGGGGAGACGUCACGGGAGAGCUGGAGAAGGUGGCGGAGGAGGUCGGGAUCUGGGUCGGGCGGGGAAGGAGGCGACGACGAGGGACGACGAGAGGGGGAGACGGCCAUG